RNAcentral lists this ribosomal RNA (255 nucleotides) under uncultured bacterium. RNAcentral describes it as "partial 16S ribosomal RNA". It matches the Rfam family "Bacterial small subunit ribosomal RNA", at positions 649 to 902 of the family's 1533-position model. The record is from RNAcentral.
UGGGAGGGGCAACCGGAAUUCCUGGUGUAACGGUGAAAUGUGUAGAUAUCAGGAGGAACACCCGUGGCGAAGGCGGGUUGCUGGACCAAAACUGACGCUGAGACGCGAAAGCGUGGGUAGCAAACAGGAUUAGAUACCCUGGUAGUCCACGCUGUAAACGAUGAGUGCUAGGUGUAGGGGGUAUCGACUCCUUCUGUGCCGCAGCUAACGCAUUAAGCACUCCGCCUGGGGAUUACGGCCGCAAGGUUAAAACUC